This 253-nucleotide ribosomal RNA is filed under the name uncultured bacterium. RNAcentral's name for it is "partial 16S ribosomal RNA". It matches the Rfam family "Bacterial small subunit ribosomal RNA", at positions 524 to 776 of the family's 1533-position model. The record is from RNAcentral.
GACAGAGGGUGCAAACGUUGCUCGGAAUCACUGGGCGUAAAGGGCGUGUAGGCGGGCAGGUAAGUCGGGCGUGAAAUCCCUGAGCUCAACUCAGGAACUACACUCGAAACUACUUGUCUUGAGUACCGGAGAGGAAAGCGGAAUACCUGGUGUAGAGGUGAAAUUCGUAGAUAUCAGGUGGAACACCAGUGGCGAAGGCGGCUUUCUGGACGGUAACUGACGCUGAGACGCGAAAGCGUGGGGAGCAAACAGG